Molecule: ribosomal RNA, 460 nt
Filed under: uncultured bacterium
Lineage: Bacteria
Description: partial 16S ribosomal RNA
Rfam family: Bacterial small subunit ribosomal RNA
Source: RNAcentral
CCUACGGGUGGCAGCAGUGAGGAAUAUUGGUCAAUGGACGCAAGUCUGAACCAGCCAUGCCGCGUGCAGGAAGACGGCUCUAUGAGUUGUAAACUGCUUUUGUACGAGGGUAAACGCAGAUACGCGUACCUGUCUGAAAGUAUCGUACGAAUAAGGAUCGGCUAACUCCGUGCCAGCAGCCGCGGUAAUACGGAGGAUUCAAGCGUUAUCCGGAUUUAUUGGGUUUAAGGGGUGCGUAGGCGGACGGAUAAGUUAGAGGUGAAAUCCCGAGGCUCAACUUCGGAAUUGCCUCUGAUACUGUUAGGCUAGAGAGUAGUUGCGGUAGGCGGAAUGUAUGGUGUAGCGGUGAAAUGCUUAGAGAUCAUACAGAACACCGAUUGCGAAGGCAGCUUACCAAGCUGCUUCUGACGUUGAGGCACGAAAGCGUGGGGAGCAAACAGGAUUAGAUACCCUAGUAGUC